GUUUUAAUAGUUUAAGUAAAAAAUCAUGGUCUUGUAAACCAUAGACAGGAAAUCCUUUAAAACU
Molecule: transfer RNA, 64 nt
Filed under: Pseudophylus stundjuki
Lineage: Eukaryota; Metazoa; Arthropoda; Insecta; Hemiptera; Miridae
Description: tRNA-Thr
Rfam family: tRNA
About the family: Transfer RNA (tRNA) molecules are approximately 80 nucleotides in length. Their secondary structure includes four short double-helical elements and three loops (D, anti-codon, and T loops).
Source: RNAcentral